This is a long non-coding RNA of Homo sapiens (human), 574 nucleotides long. NCBI's taxonomy places the organism in Eukaryota, Metazoa, Chordata, Mammalia, Primates, Hominidae. The record is from Ensembl.
AAAAAGAAAACUACAUUCGGAAAGGGAAGAUACCCAAGAAGAAAAUCGAGACGGAUCAGCAGAUCUGUUUUCACUACCUCAAGGUACACAGCCCCAAACACUGCCCAUCCCCAGCUCCCCAUGCACAUCUUUCCUGUUGGAGAAACCAGGAGAGAGAUGAGCAUUUCUGUUCCAGUUCCGAACUCCCCAGAGAGAUUCUGAUGGGCCCAGCUUAGGUCAGGGGAUAGUCUUCACUCAAGAGUUCCUGAGAUAACAGAGACUGGAGUAGCAGGCAUUGCAGAACUGAUUUUAUAAAGGAAGAACGUGUACCAUAAAUAUUGCUAGUUAAGAGCAUGUAUACUGUUGAGUUCUACCUCCUCAGAAGUCUAAAAGGUUUCCUUCCUUUGAGGGUGAAGAAGCAGUAACAGGCGUCCUCCAUCAGACCCCUCUCUGUGGGCACCUAGAACACUUCCCAUUGACGUCUGCUUCAAGGGGAGGUCACUAAAAGUGCCCCACAUGAUGCAGCAGACAUUUCGCUGGUCCCAGUGCCCUCCCCAAGACCUUCCAGAUGGUGAAGUGUUAAGAGUCUAAAAUG